AUAUCAAUAAGCGGAGGAAAAGAAACCAACAGGGAUUGCCCUAGUAACGGCGAGUGAAGCGGCAACAGCUCAAAUUUGAAAUCUGGCCUCGGCCCGAGUUGUAAUUUGCAGAGGAAGCUUUGGGUGCGGUACCGACUGAGUCCCCUGGAACGGGGCGCCACAGAGGGUGAGAGCCCCGUAUAGUCGGACGCCAAACCUGUGUAAAGCUCCUUCGACGAGUCGAGUAGUUUGGGAAUGCUGCUCAAAAUGGGAGGUAAAUUUCUUCUAAAGCUAAAUACCGGCCAGAGACCGAUAGCGCACAAGUAGAGUGAUCGAAAGAUGAAAAGCACUUUGAAAAGAGGGUUAAAUAGCACGUGAAAUUGUUGAAAGGGAAGCGCUUGUGACCAGACUUGCGCCCGGCUGAUCAUCNGGNGUUCUCACCGGUGCNCUCUGCCGGGCUCAGGCCAGCAUCGGUUCUNNNGGGGNGANNNANNNNNUGGGAACGUAGCUCCUCCGGGAGUGUUAUAGCCCUNGGUGCAAUGNCCNNCGCGGGGNNCGAGGNNCGCGCAUCUGCNAGGAUGCUGGCGUAAUGGUCACCAGCGA
This 582-nucleotide ribosomal RNA is filed under the name uncultured fungus. RNAcentral's name for it is "partial 28S ribosomal RNA". It matches the Rfam family "Eukaryotic large subunit ribosomal RNA", at positions 40 to 647 of the family's 3401-position model. The record is from RNAcentral. Lineage: Eukaryota; Fungi.